GGGGGCGUGGUGACAACGGGAACACGCGGCCUUUGCAAGGCUGAGAUAGGGGUUCGAUUCCCCUCGCCUCCA
RNAcentral lists this transfer RNA (72 nucleotides) under Actinomycetota bacterium. RNAcentral's name for it is "tRNA-Ala". It matches the Rfam family "tRNA". From Rfam's summary of the family: Transfer RNA (tRNA) molecules are approximately 80 nucleotides in length. Their secondary structure includes four short double-helical elements and three loops (D, anti-codon, and T loops). Lineage: Bacteria; Bacillati; Actinomycetota. The record is from RNAcentral.